AUCAAGAGCUGCUGGCUGAGACCCACCUCCAUGAAGAGGAAAUGAAAUCAGCAGCACAGUCAUUGAAAAGAAACUUGGCAGAAAGUGCAAUGGGAAGGUCUGGUAAGGUUACCUGAAACACACUGUGGGUAUUGGGGCUGGAGAGGUGUGUGGGGGAUGGAUUUGACUACAGUUUCAAACUGAUUAUGAAUCUGAAAUGUGCCCUGAGUGGGGGUAAACCCCAAAGCAUUGCCCCAAAUACAUAAUGUAUUUGAGGCUGAGCUUGUUCACGCUUGUUUGCAGAUGUUGCUAUUAACAAAGAUCAUUCCCACAGGCACUGUUUUCCUGAUAACUCUGCACCAGUAUAGAAAGAAUAGAUAAUAGAAGGAAUCUAGUUGUCUAAGCAGUGUAAGACUUUCUAAGGAUUAAGGUAUUGUAAAUUUUAUGUUACUUUUAAACAAAUGUCUAUAGAGACCUGAAUGCCCAAGAACUUUUCAGAAAGGGCAAAGCAAAUUAUUAGAGGUUGGAGAGUAUCCCAUGAUAGGAGAGAUUACAAAGAUUACAGCUAUUUAGUUUAGUAAAGAGACUAAUAAGAAGUGACAUGCCAAAGGUAUAUAAAAUAAUGUAUGGCAAAAAGAAGGUCAGCAGGUGCUCCUAUUUAUCCUGUCUUGUGAAAGAGGCACAGGAGGAUACCUAAUUAAAUUAAAAGACAAUAAAUUUAAAACUGGUAAAGAAAAUGCCCUUUUAUGUCACAUAUAGUUAAUCUGUGGAACUCACUGCCACAAUAAAUUAUGGAGCUAAAGACUUUUAGUUGAAUUCAAAAACCUAUUAGAUAGAUAAAAAAAGACAGAAUUGUCAAAAACAUCCAAGUUCAGUUUUCAGAAGUAACUGAGGUUCUUAUGCAUAAAGAAACAUAAGCACCAUGCCAAACUCUUUACGUUAAAUACUUGCUGGAUAAUACGUAGACCAUCUUGACUGCAGAGGUCAGACUGCCAAGUUUACUCUUGCAUUUUCUAAUUAAAGAAUUAGAUUUUUUUGUUAAGCAGAACACCUGAGGCAAGAAAAUGUUCCCUUUAGAGGCAACCUUGAAGCUCUGAGGUCAGUUGUGCUGUAAGGAGCAUGGGACCCCCUCCGUCAGAGAAGGGAUUUGGGCUUAUAUCUGUAAUGUCUUUACUAUGUUCUUGAGUUGCUAUCCUACUCGUUUUAAUAUCUAGGCUGUCAUGUGACUUCCUUAUUUCUUGGAGAGCCUCAUAUUGCUGAUGUAUAUAGGUGUGAUAUGGGCAUCUCAAUUCUCCCUUUCUCAGAACUCUGGCGUUCAAAUUCCUAAUUUGUGAAGCACAACUCAACAUAGGCACAAUGCAGACAUCAAGCCAAUAUUGUGUUUCAAUACAGAUACAUGAAACUGGGGAACCUGAAAAUCAACCACAGGUGCUCAGAGAAGGCUGAAUGGAGAGGACAGUGUUUGGUUUUGAAUUUGUAUUGCAUUUUUGCUAUUUAUAAUUCUGGAUUUGAUAUCUUGGUUCUUCACUGGAGCUAGUCAUAUAUAUCUUAGAUCUAAAAAUAAGCUCUGAGUGCUUAAGUAAGCUUUUUAGAAAAUGCUACUUUAAAUGAGAAUUCCGCUGUCACAUCCAUGCUAUUCUAAUGGAACCAUGAGACAACUGAGGAGUAGCAGGAAUCACGGCAAUACAGGAGAAAACUUCCUCAGUUCUGUUGUUGUUUUCAGUGUCUACUUUAUGCAACAGAGCUUGACUGCUGUGGAGCCAAGUGGUUUCAGAUCUAAAUGGGAAAUGUGUUUCCUGAUUCAGCCUCCACCAACACAAUCAACAGUAGAUGAACAACAUGGAAAAAGAGAUGUACACAAAAGUUAGGUGUUGCAGGGAGGACUGGGAGAGGUGAGAUCAGUUUAUGGCUUUUGCAACUGAACAGAAUUUUGAAUCUCUUCAUUUCUGUGUUUAAAUCAUACAUACUCCUUUUGUUCUGCAACUUUCUGUCAUGAUCAUUUAGUGUACUAAUACCAGGAAACAAGAUCUUUCUACAUGAAUGUAGUUGUGUAACCACCAAUGGGAAUAGAAAUAAGUGUAAUUAAAAACAACUGGGAUUUCUGCAGAGGCUGGAGGAACUUCAGUACUCAGCUCAUUCUUGUUCUUCAAAAUUCCACCUAAAACGUUAUUGGCAUGUGAAUGAAUAGCUAGAUAUUUUUAGUGAUGCUAUCAUAUACUAUAUUUGGUAAUUCUGGACUCAGGAUAAGUAAGGUUCUCACAGGUCAUGAUGUCCAGGCUCCUGGAAUUUCAGGCAGUCACAUCAUAUGUUCUUCAUUUAUUGGGCUGAGUUUUAAAACCAGUUAGGGUUUUUGCUCCCCACCUCAUCACAGGACUUGAGUCUGUUCCAGAAUUUGGCUAACCUGUUGGCUGGAGACUCUCCUGAAGCGUGAAACAGAGGACAAAUAAUAGUGACAAUUAAUGACAGACAGGACUACUUACAAGUUAUCAUGUGGUAGUCCAUGAAAAAUGAAAAUAUAGAUGAAAUAUUGCUUUAGGAUCACAUCACGUGAUACGUUUCCAGCAGAGGAGGGAAAACCAAUAGCCCUGGGCAAGACUGAAUGUGCAACGUUCAACCACGAAAGCAUCAGUCAUCAAGAAGCUCUCUACUGACAUAAUUUCUUAAGUAAAUGCGUGUAAAUUCUACUGAAACUCUGUACAAAGCUGGCUUUUAUGUACACUAAACCAACAGACACAUCUCAUGUUCUUCUCUUCUACCACAUACUGUUUGCUGUAGUUACAAAGAGGAAGAAUUAUCUCAUCUCUUAGUCUUUGUCCUGCCAACCUAAAAUACAAGAAGCACUGUUUAUAAGUUAGACUCAUUGUAUCCAAACCACCUGUUUUGUGAACCUGACUAGUCUGAAUAACUAUUUAUUUGCCAUAUAAAUAGCCAGAACAAAUUUUUUCACCUUCUUUAGAACAAAUUUUUUUUCUGGUUUUGUUUGUAUCCACCUUCAUUUCAACUCCCUGAAUUUGAAUAAGUUGAGAUCAAAUUCAAUUAAAAAUAUGAUUAAUGUCUGUGAGUUGAUAUGUUCAGUUCUGGGGCUGGCCCUAACACAAAGGACAAUAACAGCCUAAUUCUAGUUUAUCUGGAGUACUCUGGCUUGUAAUGGAAAUGACAGACCUCUGGCAGUGUUGAUGGAUGCUCCAGCAAUAUAUAUUUCACCAAUUAUCUUUUUAAGAUAAGAAACUUUCACUAUUAGGAGAGCCUUCUCAUUUUCUAUGAAGGCUUGUCCCUUGAUCUGAGAUAUUUCUGGGUUUGGGGAGACGAAGAAAUGUUCUUAAGAUUUGAAUGCAGCCAAUGGAAAAAAUAAUCUAUUAGUAUUUUGGUAAAGUUCAGCCCUGUCAUAGCUAGGUGGCUGGUGAUACUGGCAUGACAUUUAACAAGAACAAGUCCUGAAUUCUGCACCUGGGACAGAGUAAUGUCAGGUCCAAGCAUAAACUGGAAGAGGAGUGGCUGGAGAGAUGCCCUGCAGAAAGGGAUCUGGGGGUGCUGGUUGACAGCAGGCUCAAUGUGAGCCAUCAGUGCAUCCUGGUAGCCAAGAGGGCAAACCACAAACGGGGGCAUAUUAAAGACAGUGUGAUCAGCUGGUCAAAGGAGGACAUUAUCUCACUGUAUUUAGUAUUAAUGCAGUCUUGUCUUGAGUUUGCUGUGCAGUUCUGGGCCCCAAAAUUUAAGGAGGAUGUGAAGGUACUCAAACAGUCCCAAGGAAGGCACCAAAGCUGGGGAAAGGACUGGAAGGCAUGUCCUCUGAGGAGCACCUCAGGACAUGGGGUUUGCCCCGUGUGGAGAGGAGGCUGAGGGCUGACCUGAUUGCUCUCUACAGCUUCCCGAGAAGGGGAAGUGGAGAGGGAGGUGCUGAUCGCUUCUGCUUGGUACCCAGUGCCAGGCUGCAUGGGAGUGUCUUAAAGCUGCGCCUGUCAGGGGAGGUUCGGCCUUGACGUGAGGAAACAUUUCUUGACUGAGAGAGAGGUCAAACCUCGGAACAGGCUUCUUAGGGUGUUGGUCAAUGCCUCAUACCUGUCAGUGUUUAAGAGGCAUUUGGAAAAUGCCCUUAAUACCAUACUUUAUCUUUUGCUGAGCCCUGAAGCGAUCAGGCAGUUGGACUAGAGAUCCUUCUGGGUCCCUUCCAGGUGGACUGCGCUGGCUUAUGCUCGUCUGUGCUAAUGUAUUCUUCUUCCUACCUCCUCUUCCCCUUGCAAUACAUGCUGAGGAAAUCGCUGAUGCCACCUCUUCCCAGCCGCCCCGCCCCGAGCAGAAGGCAUGGAAUGGGCAGCCGUGCCUCAGCCCGGGCAUUGGCUCAGUCAUGCUGUGGGAAAGAAGCACGGAGCUGCUGGUGGAGGAGACAGCUGCGGAUCACCUUGAGAUCUCCUUCCAGCUAGGGACUGAGGCAGAAGACCAAGGAAGGCAGGACUCAGGAGUGUGCUCUGACCCCGAGGGUUUGCACAGCCAGCCUUUGCCUUGCUGAGGGGUCAGGGCGUGCUGCUUCCCUUUUUUCCGAGCUUAACUCCUGCACCUGGAGAAAGAGAGGUUGUUUGCACCCUACAGUUCAUGGAGGCCCUGCAGGUACUGGCAAGUAUCAGCGCUCUGGCCCCACUGUCUACAGCCUUAUCCAUUUGGCGCCUGCUCCAGCCCUCUCACAUUACCAGCAGUGGGGUCUGUUUUC
Long non-coding RNA from Cuculus canorus (common cuckoo), 4684 nucleotides. RefSeq lists it as uncharacterized. NCBI's taxonomy places the organism in Eukaryota, Metazoa, Chordata, Aves, Cuculiformes, Cuculidae. The transcript is spliced from 3 exons. The record is from RefSeq and is a predicted model, not a curated record.